This 478-nucleotide ribosomal RNA is filed under the name uncultured Pelagibacterales bacterium. RNAcentral describes it as "bacterial SSU rRNA". It matches the Rfam family "Bacterial small subunit ribosomal RNA", at positions 89 to 601 of the family's 1533-position model. Lineage: Bacteria; Pseudomonadati; Pseudomonadota; Alphaproteobacteria; Candidatus Pelagibacterales. The record is from RNAcentral.
UACUUAGUGGCAGACGGGUGAGUAACAUGUGGGUAUCUACCCUUUGGCCUGGAAUAACACGAGGAAACUUGUGCUAAUACCGGAUAAGUCUUUACGGAGAAAGCUUUAUGCACCAUUGGAUGAGCCCGCACUUGAUUAGUUUGUUGGUAGGGUAAUGGCCUACCAAGACUAUGAUCAAUAGCUGAUUUGAGAGGAUGAUCAGCCACAUUGGGACUGAGACACGGCCCAAACUCCUACGGGAGGCAGCAGUGGGGAAUCUUGCACAAUGGAGGAAACUCUGAUGCAGCGAUGCCGCGUGAGUGAAGAAGGCCUUUGGGUUGUAAAGCUCUUUCGUCGGGGAAGAAAAUGACUGUACCCGAAUAAGAAGGUCCGGCUAACUUCGUGCCAGCAGCCGCGGUAAUACGAAGGGACCUAGCGUAGUUCGGAAUUACUGGGCUUAAAGAGUUCGUAGGUGGUUGAAAAAGUUGGUGGUGAAAUC